Molecule: non-coding RNA, 30 nt
Filed under: Mus musculus (house mouse)
Lineage: Eukaryota; Metazoa; Chordata; Mammalia; Rodentia; Muridae
Source: RNAcentral
UGCACAUGGCUGGCUGCGUGCCACUUGAGG